Molecule: long non-coding RNA, 2477 nt
Organism: Pan troglodytes (chimpanzee)
Lineage: Eukaryota; Metazoa; Chordata; Mammalia; Primates; Hominidae
Exons: 3
Source: RefSeq, a predicted model, not a curated record
GCCCCGCGUGCAUCUUCCGUGCCGACCCCGCAGCCUGCGCCCGCCCCUUCCCCUGCACGCGGCCCCGCGUCGGGGAGGUUUCCGGCCCGGGGCCCGACUGCGGGUGGCAUUUCUGGCUAAGCCGUUAGGCGCGAAUUUUGUGUGGCCAGAAAACACAGGGCACGUUACCCGGUAUCGUGGUCUACACCUCGCUCACAAAUCCAUCCCAGGCUUGGAAACUUAUUAAAAAUUCCAACAUGAUCUUUAUGAAACUUGAUAGACUUACUCUAAAAUGUGAAUGAAGAGAGGAGGUCCACAAAUUAGCCGACUUUGUGAAGAAGGAUAAAGAGGCAUUUGUACCCUUCUAGAUAUUAAUAUAUAUCAAGAAAAAGUCAUGUUUAUAGAACGUUAUGGUAUUGGCACAGAACAGACAAAAAAUCUAUAGAAUGCAGUGGAGAGCUCAGAAGCUGACCUACAAAUACAUAGAACUUAAAAUAUGUGACCAAUAGCGGCACCACAAAUCAAUGUAGAAAUACAAAUUGUUUAGUGAAUGUGUGAUAAAAUGAGCUCAUUAGAUCCAAACAAUAAAAAGUAGAUCUCCACCUAGCGCAUGCCCACAGGUGGACGCCACGUGGAAUAAAGACCUACAUAUGAAAGAUAAGACUUUAACAGAAAGAAGUAUAAAAAAUAGCAGAAUAUUUUUAUGACUUAGUAAUGGAGAAGGAUGUCUUAAACAACACCUCAAAACACAAACCACAAGGGAAAAAUGGAUUGCAUUUUUUUGUGUGUAACAACUGAAGCCUUCUGUUUAGUGAAGGACCUUGUGGACGUUAACGGACAGAAGUUAGAUACAGUGGGAGAAGUGUUUUGCAAUGUCUCAAACUGACAAGUCAUUAAUAUAUGAAAUAUGCAAGUAACUCCUAUAUUUCAACAAAAACGAGGAGGCAACAACCUCAGUAAAAAAGGGGAAAAGGCAAUUUAUGGAAGAGAAAAACCCGAAAAGGCCUAAUUUACUGAAGAAAAUGUUUCCAAACUGAAGAUAAUUUAAGUGAUGCUUAAACCUAUCAAUAUUUUAAAAAGUGCAAAGUGAAUGACAUCACUUUAUUUAUUUAUUAGACAAGAUCUUGCCCUGCCAUCCAGACUGGAGUGCAAUGGUGCGAUCUCAGCUCACUGCAACCUCCACCUCCCGGGUUCAAGCGAUUCUCCUUCCUCAGUCUUAUGAGUAGUUGGGAUUACAGGCAUGUGCCACUGUGCCUGGGUAAUUUUUUUAAUUUUUAGUAGAGACAGGGUUUCCCUAUGUUGGCCAGGCUGGUCUUGAAUUCCUGACCUCAAGUGAUCUGUCUGCCUCUGUCUCCCAAAGUGCUGGGAUUACAGGCGUGAUCCACCACUCCCGGCCUGACAUCACAUUACUUCUUCAGAUUGGCAAAAAUUACAAAUUGGGUGAUGCCUAGCCUCAGUAGAAACAUAAGGUCCCAGGCUCCAGGGACCUCUGGCACUGCUGCUGUGAUUAGAGCAGUUCAGGUUAAGUGUGGUACAGUCUGAUUAAAAAUCAGAAGCAGCGUCUUCACAAUUAAGGCAAUUCUUAUUUUAAUGUUGGGCAUACAUUUUCUAGUCUUUAUCUGUCUAUCUUUUCUGUUACAUUAAUGAAAUAAGAAUGAGUCUUGAAGUUAAUAUUCUGCAUUUUACACUCAAAAUGUAUCAGGAAUACAUUCAAAUAUUGGUAUAGUACUUAUUAUUGUCAGCAAAUGCUACGCAGCUGAAGAUUUUAUUUGUUUACCUAUUUUUGUAGUGUUGAUACCACUGCAACAACCAUUUGGGGAACAUAGUUCCUCCACUGUCCUCUGCUGGAAUGUUUACUUUUAGAUAAAUUUCCAGGAGUACGUUAUUAGAAAUGAGAGUAAACGGAAUGUUUUGGCUCUAUACAUUUGUAGCAAUAGUUGAAGGAGUUGAUGUGGAAGAUACUGGUGUCUUCUGUGGUCGCUAACCCUGGGAUGAUCCACGAGCCAGUAGGGCCACCCAACUUCUUAAGCAUCCCUCUUCUAGUGCGUAGGAGAAAGCCAUGAUUGCCAAGGCUCUUCUUGCCCCCUCCUCCAAGCCAUGUAAACAAAUCGUCCCUCAAGCCCAUCCGGACCCUGUAAUGCCAUGGCUUGUUUGCACCUGCAUAGAUAGCAGAUCAUGAGAGUGUGCACAGCAUAUAAUGCCUUCUCAGUGCAUGUUGGGUGUAUGAAUAAAUAAGUGAAUAAACAAGUAAGUGAAUGAAUGAAAGCAAGCAUCCAGGAAGCGCUGCAGCUCAGUCUAGUCUUUUCCCAGGGCAAACACCCAGUAGGUGGCGCUGUUGCACCGGCGGUUGCAAACCGUCAGAGCAUGUUUAAACAGAGCUCUCUGACUCUGGGACAGAGGAAGUGGAAAACCUGUGUCUUCGAAUCACGUCAUUUGGUUUGAAGAUGGAUUAGUGUGAAAAUAAAUGUAUUUUAACGUCAUUAAAAUAAUCCUUAGUA